RNAcentral lists this long non-coding RNA (1034 nucleotides) under Equus asinus (donkey). RNAcentral describes it as "lncRNA (ENSEASG00005033596.1)". The record is from RNAcentral. Lineage: Eukaryota; Metazoa; Chordata; Mammalia; Perissodactyla; Equidae.
CGCCGCUGGUGCCCUCAGUGAAGUCGGGGAUCACCCCCCACCCCGAAUCCGGGCUCCCCGCGCUGCGUAGCUGAUGAGAACUCAGGCCGGGUCCUGAUCCGCUCAUUUCAGAAGAGCGGAAGGAUCCUGUACUGAUGCCUUUCCCCUCGUAGUGCUGAAAUCAUUCUUCAUUUCAGCCCUUUUCACCAUCUUUGUUCAGUGACUUUAAUUUUUUGGCAGAGUUCUCACGAUGGUGUUUACCAGUUGCUGUGGUCUAAGUGUUUGUGUCCCCAAAUUCAUAUGUUGAAACCCCAGGGGCUGAUGUGAUGGUGUUACAUGUGGGGCCUUCGGGAGGUGAUUACGACGUGAGGCUGGAGCCCUCAGGAACCGGGUUAGUGCCCUUAUAGGAGAGCCCUCUAGAGCCGCCUCCCCCUCCGGCCGCGUGAGGACUCAGCUCUGAGAAGGUGCCGGCUAUGACCCAGGAAGACGGCCCUCGCCAGAAGGUGACCAGCUGGCUCCUUGACCUGGACUUCAGCCUCCAGAACUUCAUGUGAUCAGCCACAAGCAUAUACAGAACUAGCCAAUACAUGGAGCUCAAGGUGAACACCCAGCUCCCAGCACAGAGCCUGACGCAGAGCCGGAAUUGGGUAAAUAUUUGUGGAGUGAAUAAUAUAAGAUAAACUGUGGAGAGAGGAUUGAAUUCCAGAGUUCCGGGUGUAGAAGCCAUGACAUGAUUUAUAAAUGAAUAUUUUCUAAUGGUGACACAGAAGCAUGAUACACAGUAAAGGGAAGUCAAGCUAGAAUGUGCAUUCUUUAAAAGUAAAGCACAAUGUGACUAGCUUAUGUUCAGCAAAUUACAAGUUAAUUGUAAUAAAAAUUGAGACAAUGUAUUUUCUUGGGAAGAACAGAUGUAAGAUUUCCAAUACCAAAUCUAGCACUUGGUGGACUAAAUUAGAAUACAUGUUUAUCACUUCAUUCAAAAAGCCAUUCACCAUGACGGUAUUAAAACAUAGGUUUCAAUGAAAAGUUCAAUUUACAUUUUUCAGAGUUUUAAA